Molecule: ribosomal RNA, 468 nt
Filed under: uncultured bacterium
Lineage: Bacteria
Description: bacterial SSU rRNA
Rfam family: Bacterial small subunit ribosomal RNA
Source: RNAcentral
AGAGUUUGAUCCUGGCUCAGAACGUACGCUGGCGGCACGCCUAACACAUGCAAGUCGAACGAAGUAGCAAUACUUAGUGGCAGACGGGUGAGUAACAUGUAGGUAUCUGCCCUUUGGCCUGGAAUAACACGAGGAAACUUGUGCUAAUACCGGAUAAGUCUUUACGGAGAAAGCUUUAUGCACCAUUGGAUGAGCCUGCACUUGAUUAGUUUGUUGGUGGGGUAAUGGCCUACCAAGACUGUGAUCAAUAGCUGAUUUGAGAGGAUGAUCAGCCACAUUGGGACUGAGACACGGCCCAAACUCCUACGGGAGGCAGCAGUGGGGAAUCUUGCACAAUGGAGGAAACUCUGAUGCAGCGAUGCCGCGUGAGUGAAGAAGGCCCUUGGGUUGUAAAGCUCUUUCGUCGGGGAAGAAAAUGACUGUACCCGAAUAAGAAGGUCCGGCUAACUUCGUGCCAGCAGCCGCGGU